Molecule: ribosomal RNA, 253 nt
Filed under: uncultured bacterium
Lineage: Bacteria
Description: partial 16S ribosomal RNA
Rfam family: Bacterial small subunit ribosomal RNA
Source: RNAcentral
UACGGGGGGGGUAAGCGUUGUUCGGAAUUACUGGGCGUAAAGGGCUCGUAGGCGGCCAACUAAGUCAUACGUGAAAUCCCUCAGCUUAACUGGGGAACUGCGUGUGAUACUGGAUGGCUUGGAUUUGGGAGAGGGAUGCGGAAUUCCAGGUGUAGCGGUGAAAUGCGUAGAUAUCUGGAGGAACACCGGUGGCGAAGGCGGCAUCCUGGACCAACAUUGACGCUGAACGGCGAAAGCUAGGGGAGCAAACGGG